CAGUAGCCGCGGUAAUACGUAGGGUGCAAGCGUUAAUCGGAAUUACUGGGCGUAAAGCGUGCGCAGGCGGUUUGUUAAGACAGAUGUGAAAUCCCCGGGCUUAACCUGGGAACUGCAUUUGUGACUGGCAAGCUAGAGUCUGGCAGAGGGGGGUGGAAUUCCGCGUGUAGCAGUGAAAUGCGUAGAUAUGCGAAGGAACACCGAUGGCGAAGGCAGCCCCCUGGGCCAACACUGACGCUCAUGCACGAAAGCGUGGGGAGCAAACAGGACUAGAUACCCCGGUAGUCCCUGUCUCUUAUAC
Molecule: ribosomal RNA, 301 nt
Filed under: uncultured bacterium
Lineage: Bacteria
Description: partial 16S ribosomal RNA
Rfam family: Bacterial small subunit ribosomal RNA
Source: RNAcentral